ACCCACCGGAGCCCUGAACGCUGGGACAACAACAAUCCCAACAAUCCCAACAAUGCCAACGAUUUCGUUCCAUUACGCGUCUUCCCAGACCCGGAUUCCUUCCCUACAGAAACACUGAAGUCUUAGCUAUUCCAAAGAAGCCACAUAGCCCUUCUGAUAUGUUUAUCUCAUCCAGCUUUUCUGUUAGAGGGCUUGAUUUUCUUUAAAAACAGCCUUUUGUCUCCUGUUUCUCAAAUCUGUUUUCUUCCCCACAGCUGAUUACCGCAGUCUUUUAGAUGGUACUUCCGUCAGCAGAGAGAGCUCGCCUGGACUUUUUCUUCUCCGGAACAUUCUCUAAAUGAACUCCUGAAAAGCCAGGAGAGAGGGCAGACCAUCCAUUUCUCGUGACCUCUAGAUCCUGUGUCGCUGAUGAUCUGGCGGGCCGUCUGGGGACGGAGGAGUAAGACACGAUACAGGUCUCCUGGACCCCUUCUGAGCGCCAGUGCCCGACCUCCGGGGGUUGUGCCCCCGCCGAGCUCCCAGCCCCGUGUCGAGGCCAGCUUCGUUGAUCAUGAAGAUACUCCUCAGCACUCCCAGACGUGUCAGGACGAAAAGGUCAUCGGCUCAGAAAAAUAAAGGGGUAGAACAAGGCGGGGAACGUACGGGUCCCCUCUGAGGUGGCGAACACCCUGAAUUACACGAUCUUUCACGACUACGGCCCGUCGUCGUUGGCAUGAGGGAAUUCAUUAGAGCCACGUUUCUUGAGCCUGUGGUUUACAGAAAUGACUGCUUUUAAGCUGGCUUUCCCCUUUGCGGGGAGCUGUUCCUCCAGAAACAAUUACGCCUUGAUCCUGACUCAACUAAGCCCAGUUUAGGGACAUUAUGAUUGGCAAUCGUCGAUCAUAACUGGCUCACCAUUCGGUGUUCUUUCUCUCUUGUGCAGAGACGUCUGCACGGUCCCUCUGCAGGAAGGGGACGUGAAAAACAGCUCCACCCUUUCGAUGAAGAGGGGAGAAUUGAGGCCGUCUGCUUUUCCCAGGAGCAGGGAAGGGGAGAUGUGACGGGCAACAUCUUCUGCCCAGACACCCUUUCGGCCACCUGCGCGCUCCAAACGGCUCCCGGGGGCGCUGAGAUUUCAAGAUGGCACCUUGACCUCAGACUUGCAGCCUCCGGAACGGGGAGGAACCAGGGUCUGUUGUGUCUAUGCUGCUCAGGACGGGCUUUGUUUGCGGCCGCAGCCCGAGGGACUGAGACCUGACUACAGGGUUCGGGUUGUGUGUCCCGGGCACGGUGGGUACUUUUCGGCAGAGUCGCUUUGGACACAGUCCGUGCCCACGAUUUCCAGACGUGUCUGGUGGCCGGCUCAUCCGCAAGGAGUUGGUAGUAA
This 1366-nucleotide long non-coding RNA is filed under the name Felis catus (domestic cat). RNAcentral's name for it is "lncRNA (ENSFCAG00000048462.1)". The record is from RNAcentral. Lineage: Eukaryota; Metazoa; Chordata; Mammalia; Carnivora; Felidae.